GCGUCGAGCGGCGGACGGGUGAGUAAUGCCUAGGAAAUUGCCCUGAUGUGGGGGAUAACCAUUGGAAACGAUGGCUAAUACCGCAUAAUGCCUACGGGCCAAAGAGGGGGACCUUCGGGCCUCUCGCGUCAGGAUAUGCCUAGGUGGGAUUAGCUAGUUGGUGAGGUAAUGGCUCACCAAGGCGACGAUCCCUAGCUGGUCUGAGAGGAUGAUCAGCCACACUGGAACUGAGACACGGUCCAGACUCCUACGGGAGGCAGCAGUGGGGAAUAUUGCACAAUGGGCGCAAGCCUGAUGCAGCCAUGCCGCGUGUGUGAAGAAGGCCUUCGGGUUGUAAAGCACUUUCAGUCGUGAGGAAGGUGGUGUAGUUAAUAGCUGCAUUACUUGACGUUAGCGACAGAAGAAGCACCGGCUAACUCCGUGCCAGCAGCCGCGGUAAUACGGAGGGUGCGAGCGUUAAUCGGAAUUACUGGGCGUAAAGCGCAUGCAGG
Molecule: ribosomal RNA, 491 nt
Filed under: Vibrio owensii
Lineage: Bacteria; Pseudomonadati; Pseudomonadota; Gammaproteobacteria; Vibrionales; Vibrionaceae
Description: bacterial SSU rRNA
Rfam family: Bacterial small subunit ribosomal RNA
Source: RNAcentral